AGAAAAGUAGAGCCGGGCUCGGAGUCGGCGGGAGGAAGCCCCGCCCUGCGCCUCCCGCCGAACUUCUCGGCCUCGGCGCUGACUCAGUCCCGGACGAGUCCCUGCGCCGCAGCGGCCCCUGACAGCCCGGUCCUGGUGUGGAGGUUACUGGUGCUCCCAAAACGGCUAGCGGGAGUAGGGGAUCCACUCAGCCCUGCAAAAGUUAGAUGAGCCAAGAUUCCUAAAGUUCACAUGGAAGUAUCUAUGCCUAUGCGAGCUUUGACAUUUUGUUCAGUUAGGUCUCCUGGACAUCACCCACAUGUCCCAUUUGUGCUUCAAACUUAAUGUGUUUCCAACUGAAUUUGACUUCCUUCUCAAACCUGCUUCCUGUAUCUGUCAGAGUGUGUGGAACCAGCAUCCAGUCGACCAAGCCAUAGAACUGGGAGCAGUAUAUAAUUCCAUCCUCUCUCACCUUUACUCACUACAUGCCGAUGGUCACUGAGUAGUAUCAGUUAGGGUUUCUGUGUUUCCUAGCACAGAAACCAACUCAUGUAAACACAACAAGAUUUGUAGAAGAGUACUGGAGAAGUUCACAGAAACAUAGGAAAAUUAAAGAACUAGGCUUCAUGAAGGAUAGAAAGCAGGCAACUGCGGUGUUCUCCCCAAGAGGAGCUUGAAGACCAUCCCCCAGAGAGCUAUACCCAGAUAAUUCGGCAACAAUAUGGCCUUUCAUUUAUGGAUGGGGUGGAAUAAGAAUUAUAAACUCCAAACUUUUUAUUCAACCUUGGUUAAAAUGAAAAGAAACCAUUGGUUGCAAUGCUAUUGGAUGAGAGGUAACUAAUCUUGUUGAUGUAAAUCUUCGAGAAUCCAAACUGCUGAUCCCCACAUUUCUCAACAACAAAAGAAGGAGAUGAUUAGAGGAAAUUUACAUUCUGAUGACUACAGGAACACAAUGAACAAGAUAUCAACUCUAAGAGACGAAGGUCAUAUUUAAGUUUCAAAUCUUUGCAUGCUCUAUUUCUUAUUAUUAUGACCAUAGCUUCUUUAAUAAAGAGCAACAGACUCCCGUUUUAAGUAAAUUUUCUCAUUCAUGCUAUAAA
Macaca mulatta (Rhesus monkey) is the source of this 1079-nucleotide non-coding RNA. The record is from RefSeq and is a predicted model, not a curated record. Lineage: Eukaryota; Metazoa; Chordata; Mammalia; Primates; Cercopithecidae.